AUUACUUUGUGUUUAUAUUUGCAUCCAAAACAUAAGUGCUCAAAAAGUGCAUAUCUGGUUUAUCAUUGUCAUUAGGAAAAUAUAAGAAAAUAAUUUAGGAUACAACAAUUAUUGUUCAGCACAGCAAUUCAUUUCUUUUGUAUGUCACUAUUCCUUCUACAGUAUGUAGGCUUACAUAUUUCAAACCCUUUGUUUUCAGUAGACAAAGACACAAGUUAAUUCAUAGUUCAGAGUGGAUGUUGAUGCAGGUUUUAGAGAGGCUUCAUAUUGACAUAUAAAAUUGGUCUUUGUGGUGGUGUACAUAACAGCAUCUUUAUGUAUUAUGGUUUAAUCAUAAUUUUUUAAAUGAUGGCUAUGUCCAUGAGCUACCACCCACCAUUGUAACGCACCACCAAGCUAGCAUUUUGUAAUAGAAAUCAAUAAUUUACUAUUUAUUUUUGAAGCAUCUCCCCUACAACAUUACAAUGCAUUUAGUAUUUGUUUUGUAUUCAGAUCAAAUUCUACUAAUCAUAAUAACUAAGAUGCAGUGUUUUGUAUUUCACAAUUUAUAUUUUCUUUUGAAAAGGGGCCAUGACUUGUUUUUUAUUUUAUUAUGUGUUUUAUAUUGGAGGCAGAUUACCAUGCAAUUUGAAGAAGUGUGAUAAAAUACACAGAGGUGAAGUCAUUUGUCUUUCCAGAUGCCCAAAUCUGUACCACUCAAAAAGUAAUGAAGUGACAGUGUACCAUGACAAAAAAUUUAAACAUUCUUUAUUUCUUUCAAAGUUGUACUUGGGCCACAGUUUUUUGUAUUUCUAACCAAAACAUUACAUUUAUGAUUGUAUACUAAUGAAAUAUGUUUUUCUUUUUCUGAACUUUAUCAAAUGCAAUGAUAGCUAAGAUGAGCCUGAAGAGGAGAUUUGGGAAGUCUUUGCUUUGCCAGAUCACCUGUGGUCGGGAUGUCUGCUAACAAGAUGCCUUGUUGGUCUGGGCGAGUUUGAAGUCUCUCACAGACAGUCCAGAAGGUCUGGAGUCCAUCUUAGCUUUUAUUGAUGCUGUCAUCAGAUUUUAAGUACAGUAUGAGCCAGAAUGGAAGGGUGUUGGUGGCCAUAAGAAGACUGUGAGCUAAACCUACAACAAAAUUCAUAUUUGCAGUUUUCCUAGAAUAUUUUUUUCUAUUCAGAUGAAUAAAAUUACUUUAAAAUAUUAUUUUGUUUUCAUAUUUUAUGUUUUUAUUCUGUAUUUGGAAUAUUCCACUUCUGCACUACUAACUGGAAACCUAACUGUUUGAAAGAAUUUGUUUUUAUCUAUAAAAGAUCAAUUUUAA
Long non-coding RNA from Paramisgurnus dabryanus, 1303 nucleotides. RefSeq lists it as uncharacterized. The record is from RefSeq and is a predicted model, not a curated record. Lineage: Eukaryota; Metazoa; Chordata; Actinopteri; Cypriniformes; Cobitidae.